Molecule: long non-coding RNA, 262 nt
Filed under: Hordeum vulgare
Lineage: Eukaryota; Viridiplantae; Streptophyta; Magnoliopsida; Poales; Poaceae
Description: long non-coding RNA (HVUL_LNC008227)
Source: RNAcentral
ACUAAGGGCCUUGUCCCUUAUGAAGGGUAGUCCUUGGGUAGGACCUAUAGGGCAGGCCUAUGACCCUACCCUAGGACUAUAACCCCAUCACCGGUACCCGUACAAAUUGCUCGGGGCAAUCUCCACAACCUAAUUGGAGACCCCUACGCUUGCUCGGAGCUUUACACCACAAUAAUUGAGCUUCGAGACAACACCAAGCUUCUAGGACGCCAAAGCAUCCACGAAGAACAAUAUCUAGGGUACUAAGUACCAAAGGUAAUAA